This 491-nucleotide ribosomal RNA is filed under the name uncultured bacterium. RNAcentral describes it as "partial 16S ribosomal RNA". It matches the Rfam family "Bacterial small subunit ribosomal RNA", at positions 28 to 507 of the family's 1533-position model. The record is from RNAcentral.
GAUGAACGCUGGCUACAGGCUUAACACAUGCAAGUCGAGGGGAAACGACGGGGAAGCUUGCUUCCCCGGGCGUCGACCGGCGCACGGGUGAGUAACGCGUAUCCAACCUGCCUCUGACUGAGGGAUAACCCGUCGAAAGUCGGCCUAAUACCUCAUGGUAUCGUCUGCGGGCAUCCAACGACGAUUAAAGAUUUCAUCGGUCAGGGAUGGGGAUGCGUCUGAUUAGCUUGUUGGCGGGGUAACGGCCCACCAAGGCUACGAUCAGUAGAGGUUCUGAGAGGAAGGUCCCCCACAUUGGAACUGAGACACGGUCCAAACUCCUACGGGAGGCAGCAGUGAGGAAUAUUGGUCACUGGGCGAGAGCCUGAACCAGCCAAGUAGCGUGCAGGAAGACGGCCCUAUGGGUUGUAAACUGCUUUUAUGCGGGGAUAAAGUGAGGGACGUGUCCCUCAUUGCAGGUACCGCAUGAAUAAGGACCGGCUAAUUCCGUG